Molecule: ribosomal RNA, 20 nt
Filed under: Phomopsis euphorbiae
Lineage: Eukaryota; Fungi; Ascomycota; Sordariomycetes; Diaporthales; Diaporthaceae
Description: partial 18S ribosomal RNA
Source: RNAcentral
CCCUCUGGUGACAGCGGAGG